Long non-coding RNA from Manis pentadactyla (Chinese pangolin), 4042 nucleotides. RefSeq lists it as uncharacterized. The record is from RefSeq and is a predicted model, not a curated record. The transcript has 2 exons. Lineage: Eukaryota; Metazoa; Chordata; Mammalia; Pholidota; Manidae.
GUUAUUCUGCAUUGGUCAAGAGAGGACUUUAAAAGCAGUGAUGUACAUGUAGAUAUUUUGAGAGGCAGGAAAAAAAAUCCUAAGAUAUGUUCUGUUUAUAAAUUCAGUCUUUCUUAGGCAUUCCUUUAGAGACCCCACUCGUGGUUUAAUGUUUUAUCCUUAUGUUUAGGUAACUGGCUAAAGGUUCUUCUCAUGCUGAAAGUGCCAGUACUCACUCCGAGGCCACAUCCAGUUGGCUGCCUGCAUGUUCACACAUAAACACACAUCUUUCAUGUGUGUGUGUGUGUGUGUGUCUUUGGGUGGGCAGGGGUUCAAAAGGGGCCUUUGGGUAAUACCCACCCAUGUGGAUAAUAUUUCAGGAAUCUUAUUUCAUGCCAAUAAUCAGUAUUUUCCUACAUAACUAAGAAAAAAAUGGGAGUUUUCCCUAACAACUGGAGACAGUGUGCAGGGAAUUACUAGAGCAGUAAGAAACACUGUAGUCCAGUCUUUUGUUGAAAAGUAAAUUUGGAGAAAGAGACUUUAUUUCCAGUUUUCCCACAGAGGCCGGUAGAGCAACUCUUGGAACCUCAAGCCUCACUCGGUUCAGUUUUCUUGCUUUUUAAGUAUGACAGACUGACUGACUGACUGAUGACUGAAUGAUUACUUGAGGUCAUGUCUGGGUUUUUUGAGAAGUAAGUGUGUCUCAUUCCUUUCUCUGCCUGCAUGUAGAAUAAUCAGAAAGUGAAGCACCCGAAGUAUGAACUGAUAAUUAGAAUUUAUUUGGAACACCAAAGUGAAUGUUCUCAUGCAGAAAGACAGAAAAGUCAUAUUUGGAAACUGUCUCUAAUUGAGAACAACUUGAUUAUUUUGUAAACUUGAUGCAGUAUAUACUUGUUUCUCUUACUUUGGAUCUAGUAAUAAAGCUAAUGAUGCCCCAUUAGAAGUUCUAGCCAUUUUGAAUUUUUCUUGAAUUCAUCAUAUCCAUUAAUAUAAUGCAGUAAAUAUUUUUUCUAGAUCAGUUUACUCAAUUAUUCCCUGGCACUAUAUCAGAGAUAUGAAGUCAGGGAGGCAAAAUUUAGGUGUGUGUAAAUUUCCCUGAUCCAAUGUCAGAUCAGUGAAACUUGUUUUACAUAAUUUCCAUUCAAAACCCCGUUCCAUCCCUCCCGGCUCUCAUGCUCUUUGACCUCGUUAGGCUGUAUGUCUCACAGGACAGAAGUUACAGAAAACACCCCAACUAUAGGAAACAAUUUUGCAGCCUUUAUUCUUUUCCUUAAAUUAGGUAUUUUUAGUCUGAGCUGUAACCAUUUGGCUUUCUUGCCAAGAUAAGAGAUGUUUAUCAUCCUUGUUGAACCAGAGCAAUUAACUAGACAAAUGGCUAGAGAUUUAAUCCUUAGGGUAUCUGAAAAGUAAAGCGCAUCUAAGGGAAGUGAAAGCAAACAUUUGUUAUCUUUAUAUCUACAUCUUAUAUUUUCAAUGUCUCAGGAGGCCGGGGCUUUUUACGGGAGCACCAAGAAAUCCAGGGAUGCUUUAUUUCCCUACGUCCACCAAAGAUGCUUACACAAUUGUGACAUUCCCUUUCUUUUUUUUUAAGUAGCAACUUAGUAGAGAAGUUAAAAUAGUAAUUCAGUUGCUUUUGCAUAUCAUAUGAGUGAGGAUUUCUGGAAAUUAGGGCCAAGUCUCUCAGUGAUUAAAAUAGAACCCACAGUCUAGUCAUGUAUUUCUUUUUUUCGCUGUUAAAAAAAAAACCAUGAUGGUUUGAAGGCUAUUUCUUUUUAUUGUUAUCAGUCAUGCUGGCAAAAAUGAAGCAGAUGGCAAACGGGGAUAUUUUAAAUUCUGCUGCUACCUUGAAGUAUUAGAAAAUAAAGCCCAAUGAUUAUGUUGUGUUGAUCAAGUGAUUAAAAUGAAAAGAGUGCAUUUUGUAAUGCAAAAUUUCUCCUGAUCUUUACUGGACUGAUGAUGUUAAGUAAAGUAAUUGUCCUUUAAAAGAGACUGCUCAGUUAACUUUUUUCCUCAUUAAUUUUGUUAGUCUUGUGGUGUAUUAGUCAGCUUUGCAUCCGUUUUCCUUUCUGGCCUGUCUGGUCUGUGGACUUGAGCCCCGGAAUCAGACGUGAAGAAGGCAGCUUAUGGAAACCACUUCCCCAGUUCCCACAGUCGCACAAGGCCAGAUCUCUGUAACAGAUCUCUGUGUAGUCACACACAGACGUUCUUUGUGGUCUGCUUCUUUGGUUGAACCCCAACUGAUGCAUAGUCCAAAAACUGAUUGUUAGGCAACAGUGGGGAAAGCCAAGAAACAACCAAUUUAUACGAUUUAGCUGUAGGAUUUGAUAGAACAAGUAUCUCCAAAAUAUGGGGCAAAUCAUGAGCUAUAAACAAGAGGAUUGGUUGAAAAUCUGUUUAAGAAGCUGUUUAGAGCCCAAGCUCUCUUUCUGGUCUGUAUAGCUAGGCAAAUGCCCUUUCUCCCACCUGCAAGGAAUCCCAAAGUUGUAUUUCUUUAAAUGGGGGACAUCAGGCACAGGUGAAACUGGUGUAUUCAAUGGAAAACAGGAGGUUCGGGUGAAAAUUAACUGAAGGUGAGACUCCAGCCAUCUUUCUUUUAUGCAUAUUGUACCAGUUGAGUCCCCAGGAUUAUAUCCUUCAAGCAGAUUAGAAAAACCCUUAUGGGGAAACUGACCAACACAAAAGAAGAGACUUGUAGGUGCCAGCAUUGUAGAAAAUCCUGAACGAUAUGAUUGUCAUAGAUAUGAAUUUCUUUGGUAGGUAUCAACAAAUUAAUACAAAGCUAUAAUUUAAAGAAGGUGGUUUUAGGACAACUAUACUCCUCAAAGAAGAGCAAUUUUCUUUUAUCUGUAAAGACUUUCUUUUUCUCCCAAGGGCACCUCUGAGAAUGUUGGCUAUAAGUAGUCCUGAAGAAGACACUCUUAGCUAGGACACCUAUCAGUCAGAUUAGUUCCCGGUGAUCAAUGAGUGAUAAGUGUCAUUACCUGUGUGCCAUAAUGUCCACUUAGGACAAGAAGAGGAAGUACCCCUACAGCUAACCUCAUACUCAGAAACAAGACAAGGAUGCCCACUCUCAUCAAUAAAUGGUGUUGGGAAAACUGGACCAUUAUAUUAUACCUUACACAAGUAUUAAGUCAGAAUGGAUUAAAGACUUGACCCUAAGACCUGAACUCAUAACACUUCUAGAAGAAAACAUAGGCACUAGGCUCCUUGACAUCAGUUUUGGGGAUGAUUUUUUGGAUUUGACACCAAAAGCAAAGGUAACCAAAGCAAAAAUAAACAAAUGGCACUAAUCAAACUAAAAAAGCCUCUACACAACAAAAGAAAUCAUCAUCAAACUGAAAAGACAACCUACCAAAUGGGAGAAAACAUUCAUAAAUCAUAUGUCUGGGAAGGGGUUAAAGUCCCCAAAAAUGAAGAACUCAUAUAAAUAGCAAAAAAAAAACCCCCAAUCUGAUUAAAAAUCUGGGCAGAAGAUCUGAAUACACACUUUUCCAAAGAAGACACACAGAUGGCCAGCAGGUCCAAGAACAGGUGCUGAACAUCGCUAAUCAUCAGGAAAUGCAAAUCAAAACCACUGUGAGGUAUCACCUCACUGCUGUUAGAAUGGCUCUUAUCAAAAAGGCAACAAGUGUUGGCAAGAAUGUGAAGAGGAAACCUUCAUGCCAUGUUGGUAGGAAUGUGUAUCCAGUGUGAAAAACAAUAUGGAGGCUCCUCAAAGAAUUAAAAAUGGAACUACCAUAUGAUCCAGUAAUUCCACUUCAGGCAUUUAUCUGAAAAAAACAGAAACACAAACUACAGGAAAGAUAUAUGUACCCCCAUGUGUGCUGCAGCAUUAUAUACAAUAGCAGAGACGUUGGAAGCAACCUAUGUAUUGAUGGAUGAAAGGAUAAAGAAAAUGUGGCACACACAACAGAAUAUUAUUUAGCCAUAAAAAGGAAACCUCUCUAUUUGUGACAAAACAGAUGGACCUUGAGGGUAUUAUGCUAAGUGAAAUAAGAACGAGAAAGAUAAAUGCCAUAUGAAUCUCACAUGUAGAACCUAAAAGAAAGAAACGAAAACCCCC